RNAcentral lists this non-coding RNA (120 nucleotides) under Magnetospirillum sp. XM-1. Lineage: Bacteria; Pseudomonadati; Pseudomonadota; Alphaproteobacteria; Rhodospirillales; Rhodospirillaceae. The record is from RNAcentral.
AAACUCUGGAAAGCGCGUCGUCGGACCCUUUAGGGUCAGGCGGCCCACCGACGAUGAAAGCCGCGACGUCCCUUCGGGCAGAGCGGUGAAUCUUUCAGGUUCCCAGACAGAGGGGGGCAA